Molecule: transfer RNA, 64 nt
Filed under: Allotermes cf. paradoxus
Lineage: Eukaryota; Metazoa; Arthropoda; Insecta; Blattodea; Kalotermitidae
Description: tRNA-Glu
Rfam family: tRNA
About the family: Transfer RNA (tRNA) molecules are approximately 80 nucleotides in length.
Source: RNAcentral
AUUUAUGUAGUUUAAUAAAAACGUUACAUUUUCACUGUAAAGAUAAAGAAAACUUUUAUAAAUA